AUUGAACGCUGGCGGUAGGCCUAACACAUGCAAGUCGAACGGCAGCACAGUAAGAGCUUGCUCUUACGGGUGGCGAGUGGCGGACGGGUGAGGAAUACAUCGGAAUCUACUUUUUCGUGGGGGAUAACGUAGGGAAACUUACGCUAAUACCGCAUACGACCUACGGGUGAAAGCAGGGGAUCUUCGGACCUUGCGCGAUUGAAUGAGCCGAUGUCGGAUUAGCUAGUUGGCGGGGUAAAGGCCCACCAAUGCGACGAUCCGUAGCUGGUCUGAGAGGAUGAUCAGCCACACUGGAACUGAGACACGGUCCAGACUCCUACGGGAGGCAGCAGUGGGGAAUAUUGGACAAUGGGCGCAAGCCUGAUCCAGCCAUACCGCGUGGGUGAAGAAGGCCUUCGGGUUGUAAAGCCCUUUUGUUGGGAAAGAAAAGCAGCAGGUUAAUACCCCGCUGUUCUGACGGUACCCAAAGAAUAAGCACCGGCUAACUUCGUG
This 492-nucleotide ribosomal RNA is filed under the name uncultured bacterium. Its description in RNAcentral is "partial 16S ribosomal RNA". It matches the Rfam family "Bacterial small subunit ribosomal RNA", at positions 30 to 507 of the family's 1533-position model. The record is from RNAcentral.